RNAcentral lists this ribosomal RNA (253 nucleotides) under uncultured bacterium. Its description in RNAcentral is "partial 16S ribosomal RNA". It matches the Rfam family "Bacterial small subunit ribosomal RNA", at positions 524 to 776 of the family's 1533-position model. The record is from RNAcentral.
UACGGAGGUGGCAAGCGUUGCUCGGAAUCACUGGGCGUAAAGGGCGCGUAGGCGGGGAGGUAAGUCGGGUGUGAAAUCCCUCGGCCCAACUGAGGAACUGCGCCCGAGACUGCUUCUCUUGAGUACCGGAGAGGAUGGCGGAAUUCCCCAAGUAGAGGUGAAAUUCGUAGAUAUGGGGAGGAACACCGGUGGCGAAGGCGGCCAUCUGGACGGAUACUGACGCUGAGACGCGAAAGCGUGGGAAGCAAACAGG